This 253-nucleotide ribosomal RNA is filed under the name uncultured bacterium. Its description in RNAcentral is "partial 16S ribosomal RNA". It matches the Rfam family "Bacterial small subunit ribosomal RNA", at positions 524 to 776 of the family's 1533-position model. The record is from RNAcentral.
UACGGAGGGUGCGAGCGUUGUCCGGAAUCACUGGGCGUAAAGGGCGCGUAGGCGGCGCGCGCAGUCGGCGGUGAAAGCCCGGAGCUCAACUCCGGGUCGGCCGUCGAUACUCUCGUGCUUGAGCACUGUAGAGGCAGGUGGAAUUCCGGGUGUAGCGGUGGAAUGCGUAGAGAUCCGGAAGAACACCGGUGGCGAAGGCGGCCUGCUGGGCAGUUGCUGACACUGAGGCGCGACAGCGUGGGGAGCAAACAGG